This 399-nucleotide ribosomal RNA is filed under the name uncultured soil bacterium. RNAcentral describes it as "bacterial SSU rRNA". It matches the Rfam family "Bacterial small subunit ribosomal RNA", at positions 26 to 452 of the family's 1533-position model. The record is from RNAcentral.
AGAACGAACGCUGGCGGCAUGCCUAAUACAUGCAAGUCGAACGAACUCUUCGGAGUUAGUGGCGCACGGGUGCGUAACGCGUGGGAAUCUGCCCCUUGGUUCGGAAUAACAGUUGGAAACGACUGCUAAUACCGGAUGAUGACGAAAGUCCAAAGAUUUAUCGCCAAGGGAUGAGCCCGCGUAGGAUUAGCUAGUUGGUGAGGUAAGGCUCACCAAGGCAACGAUCCUUAGCUGGUCUGAGAGGAUGAUCAGCCACACUGGGACUGAGACACGGCCCAGACUCCUACGGGAGCAGCAGUAGGGAAUAUUGGACAAGUGGGACGAAAGCCUAGAUCCAGCAAUGCCGCGUGAGUGAUGAAGGCUUAGGGUAGUAAAGUCUUCUUUACCCGAGAUGAAUAA